GACGAACGCUGGCGGCGUGCUUAACACAUGCAAGUCGAACGGAAAGGCCCUGCUUUUGUGGGGUGCUCGAGUGGCGAACGGGUGAGUAACACGUGAGUAACCUGCCCUUGACUUUGGGAUAACUUCAGGAAACUGGGGCUAAUACCGGAUAGGAGCUCCUGCUGCAUGGUGGGGGUGGGAAAGUUUCGGCGGUUGGGGAUGGACUCGCGGCUUAUCAGCUUGUUGGGGGGGUAGUGGCUUACCAAGGCUUUGACGGGUAGCCGGCCGGAGAGGGUGACGGGCCCCAUGGGGACGGAGACACGCCCGAGACUCCGAGGGGGGGGAGGGGGGGGAAAUUGGGCACAGGGGGGGGAAGCCUGAUGCAGCAGCCCCGGGUGGGGGAUGAGGGCCUUCGGUUUGAAACCCGUUUGCGCCGGUGAGGAAGGGGGAGGGAGGUUAAUGGGUAAAAAAGCCCGGGCUAAUUACGUC
This 468-nucleotide ribosomal RNA is filed under the name uncultured bacterium. RNAcentral describes it as "partial 16S ribosomal RNA". It matches the Rfam family "Bacterial small subunit ribosomal RNA", at positions 28 to 507 of the family's 1533-position model. The record is from RNAcentral.